UACGGGGGGGGCAAGCGUUGUUCGGAAUUACUGGGCGUAAAGGGCUCGUAGGUGGCCAACUAAGUCAGACGUGAAAUCCCCCGGCUUAACCGGGGAACUGCGUCUGAUACUGGAUGGCUUGAGUUCGGGAGAGGGAUGCGGAAUUCCAGGUGUAGCGGUGAAAUGCGUAGAUAUUGGGAAGAACACCGGUGGCGAAGGCGACCAUCUGGACGACAACUGACGCUGAGGCGCGAAAGCGUGGGGAGCAAACAGG
Molecule: ribosomal RNA, 253 nt
Filed under: uncultured bacterium
Lineage: Bacteria
Description: partial 16S ribosomal RNA
Rfam family: Bacterial small subunit ribosomal RNA
Source: RNAcentral